RNAcentral lists this ribosomal RNA (1457 nucleotides) under uncultured Bordetella sp. Its description in RNAcentral is "partial 16S-23S ribosomal RNA intergenic spacer". It matches the Rfam family "Bacterial small subunit ribosomal RNA". The record is from RNAcentral. Lineage: Bacteria; Pseudomonadati; Pseudomonadota; Betaproteobacteria; Burkholderiales; Alcaligenaceae.
AAGUUCAUCCUGGCUCAGAUUGAACGCUGCGUAGAUGCUUUACACAUGCAAGUCGAACGGCAGCACGGACUUCGGUCUGGUGGCGAGCGGCGAACGGGGUGAGUAAUGUAUCGGAACUGUGCCUAGUAGCGGGGGAUAACUACGCGAAGCGUAGCACACUGCAUACGCCCUUCGGGGAAAGCGGGGACCUUCGGGCCCCGCACCAUUAGAGCGGCCGAUAUCGGAUUGGCUAUUGGUGGGGGUAACGCUCACCAAGGCGAUGAUCCGUGUGGCUGUUUAGAGGACGACCAGCCACACCGGGACUGAGACACGGCCCAGACUCUACGGAGGCAGCAGUGUAGUCUCCUGGACACGGUAAAACCUUGAUCCAGCCAUCCCGCGUGCGAUGAAGGCCUUCGGGUUGUAAAGCACCUUUGGCAGGAAAGAAACGGCACGGGAUAAUACCCCGUGCAACUGACGGUACUGCAGAAUAAGCACCGGCUAACCAGCCGUGCCAGCAGCCGCGGUAAUACGUAGGGUGCAAGCGUUAAUCGGAAUUAUCGGCAAAGCGUGCGCAGGCGGUUCGAAAGAAAGAUGUGAAAUCCCAGAGCUAACUUUGGAACUGCAUUUUUAACCAUCGAAUAGAGUGCAAACAGAGAAAGGUGAAUUCGCGGUAAAGAAGAAUGCGCAGAUAUGCGGAGAACACUGGCCAUAAAGGCAGCCUCUGGGAUAAUAAUUGACGCUCAUGCACGAAAGCGUGGGGAGCAAACAGAUUAGAUACCUCUGGUAGUCCACGUUCUAAAUGAUGCUCAACGGUUGCUAGCCUCGGCUCUUAUGGUAGCGCAGCUAACGCGUGUGAAGUUGACCGCCUGGGAGUACGGUCGCAUUUGAAAACUGAAAGCAACUGGAUGACCGCACAAGCGGUGGAUACGACACUCCGAUGCAACGCGAAAAACGCCACCCAAUUCCUGAUAUGCUGGAAUCCCGAAGAGAUUUGGGAGUGCCCGCAAGAGAACCGGAACACAGGUGCUGCAUGGCUGUCGUCAGCUCGUGUCGUGAUGCUGGGUUAAAGUCCGCAACGAGCGCAACCUCCUUGUCAUUAGUUGCUACGAAAGUGCGGCACUCCUGAUGACUGCCGGCGACAAACCGGAGGAAGGCAGAGACGUCAAAGCCGUUAACGCGGUGCUUCAAUAAUGUCAUACAAUGGUCGGACAGAAUGCCAAAUCCGCCAGGGGGAGCUUAACCCAGAACUGAUCGUAGCUCGGACGAAGCUCCGUAACUCGACUGCGGAAGUCGGAAUCGCUAGUAAUCGCGAUCAGCACGGUCGCGGUGCGAAUACGUUCCCGGGUCUUGUACACACCGCCCGUCACACCAUGGGAGCGUCACCAGAAGUAGUUAGCCUAACCGUGCGGCGCGAUUAACACGGUAGGAUUCAUGAUUGGUGAAGUCGUAACAAACGGACCCUGCACGCCUGAUGC